This 425-nucleotide ribosomal RNA is filed under the name uncultured bacterium. RNAcentral describes it as "bacterial SSU rRNA". It matches the Rfam family "Bacterial small subunit ribosomal RNA", at positions 354 to 796 of the family's 1533-position model. The record is from RNAcentral.
GUGGGGAAUAUUGGACAAUGGGGGAAACCCUGAUCCAGCAAUGCCGCGUGAGUGAUGAAGGCCUUCGGGUUGUAAAGCUCUUUUAUCAGGGAAGAUAAUGACGGUACCUGAUGAAUAAGCUCCGGCUAACUUCGUGCCAGCAGCCGCGGUAAUACGAAGGGAGCUAGCGUUGUUCGGAAUUACUGGGCGUAAAGGGCGCGUAGGCGGCCUUGUAAGUUAGAUGUGAAAGCCCCGGGCUUAACCUGGGAACGGCAUUUAAGACUGCAAAGCUAGAGGACGAGAGAGGAAAGUGGAAUUAUGAGUGUAGAGGUGAAAUUCGUAGAUAUUCAUAAGAACACCAGUGGCGAAGGCGACUUUCUGGCUCGUAUCUGACGCUAAGGCGCGAAGGCGUGGGGAGCAAACAGGAUUAGAAACCCGGGUAGUCC